Gossypium raimondii (Peruvian cotton) is the source of this 107-nucleotide non-coding RNA. The record is from Rfam. Lineage: Eukaryota; Viridiplantae; Streptophyta; Magnoliopsida; Malvales; Malvaceae.
AACCCAUGAUGAGGGCACCUUCUCAGAAGAUCUUUAAAUCUCUCACAUGCAUCAUAUAGUAUCUCAAGCUCCAUUUGGGCAAAAGAAGAGAUGUCAUUCCUCAACUU